CCUACGGGAGGCAGCAGUGGGGAAUAUUGGACAAUGGACCAAGAGUCUGAUCCAGCAAUUCUGUGUGCACGAUGACGUUUUUCGGAAUGUAAAGUGCUUUCAGUUGGGAAGAAAAAAAUGACGGUACCAACAGAAGAAGUGACGGCUAAAUACGUGCCAGCAGCCGCGGUAAUACGUAUGUCACAAGCGUUAUCCGGAUUUAUUGGGCGUAAAGCGCGUCUAGGUGGUUAUGUAAGUCUGAUGUGAAAAUGCAGGGCUCAACUCUGUAUUGCGUUGGAAACUGUGUAACUAGAGUACUGGAGAGGUAAGCGGAACUACAAGUGUAGAGGUGAAAUUCGUAGAUAUUUGUAGGAAUGCCGAUGGGGAAGCCAGCUUACUGGACAGAUACUGACGCUGAAGCGCGAAAGCGUGGGUAGCAAACAGGAUUAGAUACCCCGGUAGUC
RNAcentral lists this ribosomal RNA (443 nucleotides) under uncultured Fusobacterium sp. Its description in RNAcentral is "bacterial SSU rRNA". It matches the Rfam family "Bacterial small subunit ribosomal RNA", at positions 338 to 795 of the family's 1533-position model. Lineage: Bacteria; Fusobacteriati; Fusobacteriota; Fusobacteriia; Fusobacteriales; Fusobacteriaceae. The record is from RNAcentral.